This is a microRNA precursor of Oryza sativa Japonica Group (Japanese rice), 275 nucleotides long. It matches the Rfam family "MIR821 microRNA precursor family". NCBI's taxonomy places the organism in Eukaryota, Viridiplantae, Streptophyta, Magnoliopsida, Poales, Poaceae. The record is from Rfam.
UAUUUCAACUCAAAAAGUCAUCAACAACAAAGUUGUAUAACUCAUCAAGAUCUAUAACUUUUAUUUUGGUCAUUUUUUCAUCCGAUAAAGUGAUAGUAACAUUGUUCACAAAAUUCACAUAUCUCUCAUCUAGUUUUAUAAACUAUAACACAGAUAUGUAAAUUUUGUAAACAAUGUUACCAACACUAUAUCGGAUGAAGAAAUGACAAACAUAAAAGUUAUAGAUCUUGGUGAGUUAUACAACUUUGUUGUUGAUGACUUUUUUAGUUGAAAUC